CGACUGGCGGCAUGCCUAAGACAUGCAAGUCGAACGAGAGGGCCCAAUGAAAUUGAUUGAAGGUUUGCGAGCUUGCUCAAGAACCGGAUUUCUUUGGAUUUGGAUUUCCCUCUAGUGGCAAACGGGUGAGUAACACGUGGGUUACCUGCCCUCAAGAUUGGGAUAACAAUUGGAAACGAUUGAUAAUACCGAAUGUGCUCUACGGAGUAAAGGAGCCCUUAAAGCUUCGCUUGAGGAUGGGCCUGCGGCGUAUUAGCUAGUUGGUGGGGUAACGGCCUACCAAGGCGACGAUGCGUAGCCGAACUGAGAGGUUAAUCGGCCACACUGGGACUGAGACACGGCCCAGACUCCUACGGGAGACAGCAGUUAGGAAUAUUCGUCAAUGGGGGAAACCCUGAACGAGCAAUGCCGCGUGAACGAUGAAAGGCCCUAUGGGUUGUAAAGUUCUGUUGUUUGGAAAAAAGGAUAGAUAUAGGAAAUGAUAUCUAUUUGAUGGUACCAUUCAAGAAAGCCACGGCUAACUACGUGCCAGCAGCCGC
RNAcentral lists this ribosomal RNA (539 nucleotides) under uncultured bacterium. Its description in RNAcentral is "bacterial SSU rRNA". It matches the Rfam family "Bacterial small subunit ribosomal RNA", at positions 36 to 518 of the family's 1533-position model. The record is from RNAcentral.